GUAAUGGUUGCUCCAGAUCCUCCUGGAACAGAUUCAGAAACAGAGAUUGACAUAGUAUUGUAAACUUCUUGCCUAAGGUAGCAUGCGUACCAAAGGUUGACAUGUUUUGUGAAACUUCAGAAGAUUAAAAAUUAUUAACCAAGAAUGGAUCAGCAACACAAAGGAUCUACCCAACCAUGGCACAGGAGAUGCAGGUCCUGCCCUCCUUCCUGAGUGCCCAGACACUGUGGUGACAUUCUGUGUCUCUCUUGUCCUGCUGAUCCUUGUCAUGUGCCCCCAGCCCUGCGUUGAUAUAGGCCGUGUAGGAAGUACUUUAAAAUGCAGGGAAGAUACAGCACUUAACCAACAGGGGAAGCAGAAACCACUGGACAAGCAAGAAACAGCUGGACUAAUGAGCAUGGAUUUGGAAAACCCUAAUUCAUCUUAUUAUUACUUGCAUAUUAAAGCUAUCUGCAAAUGAUGUCUCAAUGCCUUAUUUUCUCCUCUGCA
This 489-nucleotide long non-coding RNA is filed under the name Ficedula albicollis (Collared flycatcher). RNAcentral describes it as "lncRNA (ENSFALG00000025704.1)". The record is from RNAcentral. Lineage: Eukaryota; Metazoa; Chordata; Aves; Passeriformes; Muscicapidae.